UGGCGGACGGGUGAGUAACGCGUGGGUAACCUACCUCAUACAGGGGGAUAACAGUUGGAAACGACCGCUAAUACCGCAUAACCCGCUAGUAUCGCAUGAUACGGACGGAAAAGAUUUAUCGGUGUGAGAUGGACCCGCGUCUGAUUAGCCAGUUGGCAGGGUAACGGCCUACCAAAGCAACGAUCAGUAGCCGGCCUGAGAGGGUGAACGGCCACAUUGGGACUGAGACACGGCCCAAACUCCUACGGGAGGCAGCAG
This 258-nucleotide ribosomal RNA is filed under the name uncultured bacterium. RNAcentral describes it as "partial 16S ribosomal RNA". It matches the Rfam family "Bacterial small subunit ribosomal RNA", at positions 96 to 354 of the family's 1533-position model. The record is from RNAcentral.